AGAGUUUGAUCCUGGCUCAGGAUGAACGCUGGCGGCGUGCUUAACACAUGCAAGUCGAACGAAGCACUUAAGACGGAUUACUUCGGUUUGAAGUCUUUUGUGACUGAGUGGCGGACGGGUGAGUAACGCGUGGGUAACCUGCCUCACACAGGGGGAUAACAGUUGGAAACGACCGCUAAUACCGCAUAAGCCAACGAAAUCGCAUGAUUUUGCUGGAAAAGAUUUAUCGGUGUGAGAUGGACCCGCGUCUGAUUAGCCAGUUGGCAGGGUAACGGCCUACCAAAGCGACGAUCAGUAGCCGGCCUGAGAGGGUGAACGGCCACAUUGGGACUGAGACACGGCCCAAACUCCUACGGGAGGCAGCAGUGGGGAAUAUUGCACAAUGGGGGAAACCCUGAUGCAGCGACGCCGCGUGAGUGAAGAAGUAUUUCGGUAUGUAAAGCUCUAUCAGCAGGGAAGAAAAUGACGGUACCUGACCAAGAAGCCCCGGCUAACUACGUGCCAGCAGCCGCGGUAAUUC
RNAcentral lists this ribosomal RNA (520 nucleotides) under uncultured bacterium. Its description in RNAcentral is "bacterial SSU rRNA". It matches the Rfam family "Bacterial small subunit ribosomal RNA", at positions 8 to 526 of the family's 1533-position model. The record is from RNAcentral.